CUACGUGCCAGCAGCCGCGGUAAUACGUAGGUCCCGAGCGUUGUCCGGAUUUAUUGGGCGUAAAGCGAGCGCAGGCGGUUAGAUAAGUCUGAAGUUAAAGGCUGUGGCUUAACCAUAGUACGCUUUGGAAACUGUUUAACUUGAGUGCAAGAGGGGAGAGUGGAAUUCCUAGUGUAGCGGUGAAAUGCGUAGAGAUUAGGAGGAACACCAGUGGCGAAGGCGGCUUUUUGGCCUGUAACUGACACUGAGGCGCGAAAGCGUGGGGAGCAAACAGGAUUAGAUACCCUGGUAGUCCACGCCGUAAACGAUGAGUGCUAAGUGUUGGUCUCAUAAGAGAUCAGUGCUGCAGCUAACGCAUUAAGCACUCCGCCUGGGGAGUACGACCGCAAGGUUGAAACUCAAAUGAAUUGACGGGGGCCCGCACAAGCGGUGGAGCAUGUGGAUUAAUUCGAUGCAACGCGAAGAACCUUACCUACUCUUGACAUCCA
Molecule: ribosomal RNA, 488 nt
Filed under: uncultured bacterium
Lineage: Bacteria
Description: bacterial SSU rRNA
Rfam family: Bacterial small subunit ribosomal RNA
Source: RNAcentral